UCCUACGGGGGGCAGCAGUGGGGAAUAUUGCACAAUGGGGGAAACCCUGAUGCAGCAACGCCGCGUGAAGGAAGACGGUUUUCGGAUUGUAAACUUCUGUUCUUAGAGAAGAUAAUGACGGUAUCUAACGAAUAAGCACCGGCUAACUCCGUGCCAGCAGCCGCGGUAAUACGGAGGGUGCAAGCGUUACUCGGAAUCACUGGGCGUAAAGAGCGCGUAGGCGGGAUAGCAAGUCAGAUGUGAAAUCCUAUGGCUUAACCAUAGAACUGCAUUUGAAACUGUUAUUCUAGAGUAUGGGAGAGGUA
Molecule: ribosomal RNA, 305 nt
Filed under: uncultured bacterium
Lineage: Bacteria
Description: bacterial SSU rRNA
Rfam family: Bacterial small subunit ribosomal RNA
Source: RNAcentral